CCGGUUGAUCCUGCCAGAGGCUACUGCUAUCGGGGUCCGACUAAGCCAUGCGAGUUGAGAGGGGUAAGCCCUCGGCAUAUUGCUCAGUAACACGCGGAUAACCUGCCCUUGGGUUUGGGAUAACCCCGGGAAACUGGGACUAAUACCGGAUAGAUCAAAGAAACUGGAAUGUUCUCUGAUCGAAAGCUCCGGCGCCCAAGGAUGGGUCUGCGGCCUAUCAGGUAGUAGUGGGUGUAACGUACCUACUAGCCUACGACGGGUAAGGGUUGUGAGAGCAAGAGCCCUGAGAUGGAUUCUGAGACAUGAAUCCAGGCCCUACGGGGUGCAGCAGGCGCGAAAACUUUACACUGCGGGAAACCGCGAUAAGGGGACCCCGAGUGCCAGCACCUAGUGCUGGCUGUCCAGCUGUUCAAAUAACAGUUGUUAGCAAGGGCCGGGCAAGACCGGUGCCAGCCGCCGCGGUAACACCGGCGGCCCGAGUGGUAGCCGUUAUUAUUGGGUUUAAAGGGUCCGUAGCCGGCCUAUUAAGUCUCUUGGGAAAUCUGGCGACUCAAUCGUCAGGCGUUCAAGAGAUACUGGUAGGCUUGGGACCGGGAGAGGUGGGAGGUACUCCAGGGGUAGGGGUGAAAUCUCGUAAUCCUUGGGGGACCACCGAUGGCGAAGGCAUCCCACCAGAACGGGUCCGACGGUGAGGGACGAAAGCUGGGGGCACGAACCGGAUUAGAUACCCGGGUAGUCCCAGCCGUAAACGAUGCUCGCUAGGUGUCAGGUGCGGUGCGACCGCAUCUGGUGCCGCAGUGAAAACUUGAAGCGAGUCACCUGGGAAGUACGGUCGCAAGGCUGAAACUUAAAGGAAUUGGCGGGGGAGCACUACAACGGGUGGAGCCUGCGGUUCAAUUGGAUUCAACGCCGGA
RNAcentral lists this ribosomal RNA (914 nucleotides) under archaeon enrichment culture clone EAr7. Its description in RNAcentral is "bacterial SSU rRNA". It matches the Rfam family "Archaeal small subunit ribosomal RNA", at positions 4 to 922 of the family's 1478-position model. The record is from RNAcentral.